Molecule: long non-coding RNA, 347 nt
Organism: Helianthus annuus (common sunflower)
Lineage: Eukaryota; Viridiplantae; Streptophyta; Magnoliopsida; Asterales; Asteraceae
Exons: 3
Source: RefSeq, a predicted model, not a curated record
GAGAGAGAGAAGGGUGAAAACCUUCUUCCAAACUAUCUAACACAAAAAUAUGCAAAUCAAAGGGGAAAAUCAAGGUUAUUCCCUUGCAUGUUGGAGAAUUUUGAUUAUCUAACAUCAAUCAAAUUUAAGAUAAGCAACUCAAGUGAUACACUGGGAGACAAAGUGGGAAAGGAUACUCAUCUCAAGGGAAAGCUUUAAGGUAAUACCCGUCUUAGGAAACCGGAUGGAAGAUCAAGCUGCGCAAAGAACCGAACACACUUUACAACUUUUUCUCUUCCGUGUUUUAGUUAAUUAUGUUUCUAAACUUAAAAUUUAAGGACAUAUACCUUGAAUUGAAUCAUAGCUAC